This 253-nucleotide ribosomal RNA is filed under the name uncultured bacterium. Its description in RNAcentral is "partial 16S ribosomal RNA". It matches the Rfam family "Bacterial small subunit ribosomal RNA", at positions 524 to 776 of the family's 1533-position model. The record is from RNAcentral.
UACGAAGGGGGCUAGCGUUGCUCGGAAUUACUGGGCGUAAAGCGCACGUAGGCGGUCUUUUAAGUCGGGGGUGAAAUCCUGGAGCUCAACUCCAGAACUGCCUUCGAUACUGGAAGACUUGAGUCCGGGAGAGGUGAGUGGAACUGCGAGUGUAGAGGUGAAAUUCGUAGAUAUUCGCAAGAACACCAGUGGCGAAGGCGGCUCACUGGCCCGGUACUGACGCUGAGGUGCGAAAGCAUGGGGAGCGAACAGG